Triticum aestivum (bread wheat) is the source of this 1065-nucleotide long non-coding RNA. RefSeq lists it as uncharacterized. The transcript is spliced from 3 exons. Lineage: Eukaryota; Viridiplantae; Streptophyta; Magnoliopsida; Poales; Poaceae. The record is from RefSeq and is a predicted model, not a curated record.
UUCGUGGUUCAAUCCUACCUGCGCCCGUCUCCUUCUCCGACACAAACUCUCUUCGAGCUCGCACGCGCCCAUGGGUGUCCGGCACAGGUCGGUGCUUGCCUAGCCUCUCUCCCAUAAAUACUCCACGGUUGACGCGAUGGGAAAGAUGAAGGCGGAGCAACAAGAUGAUCAGCCGUAAGCCGAGACCGUUCCCACAGGCAAUUCAUCCGGCUACGUAUCUCGCCGAGGCCAAUGGCAGCAACAGCCGAGGCCCAAGUCAUUGGGAUUCCCUUUUUCUCUGCGGCUGCAUACCCGGUAUCUCCGUACUGUUGCUCUGUUGCCGGUCGGCAGAAGGAGGUGGCCGGCGUCGCCCCCAUCUUCAAAUCCCCUGGUCACUCGAUCUCAUCCGCCGGCGCUGGGUGCCCGCACCAGAUUUGUGCUCCCUAUAUCGAGCGACCGACGGCUGCUGCUCCCAGCCCCGGAUCUGCUCCUCCUCGCCACUUGCAAACCGUGGCUCCGAUGAUCCACGACAGGGGAUGAUGACCCACGGCGACAGAGGAUGACGACGUAUGGUUGCUGCUUCCAAUCACCACCACGGACCCGCCACUCCAACGACCAUGGCGGGGACGACCACCCAUGGAUGUAACUCCCCACCACCGGUCUUCUUCAUGGGUGCAGCAAGCUGCUCCUCCAUCCUGUCCGUCCCAGCCAACGCCAGAGGCCUCCUCCGCUGCCUCCUCCGACCCAUGCUGUAGCAACCUUCAUACGAGGCCGCUAUGGUGCCGCCUCGGCUGCCCAGGAGGGUAGUUUGAGCUAGCACACAAAAGCCCAUUGAAGAGAUUGAUCCAAGUGCUUCUGAACUGUUAGGCCCUCAAAGUUUCAAGCAGAAGCCCAAAAGAAGAAGGAUCAAGAACAUCUGAUACUACUAUUGAAGAUAAUGCAGUAUGUGUGGAGGAAUGUGCCAAUUACAGGUGCAGGAAUGUGGUGGAUCAACUCUUCUUCACCUUGGGAUUGAUCAUAUUCAGAUGUAUUAUGAAUUUAUGAUGAGAUGGACAGCAUUGUAGUGACAUGGAUGAAGCUGUUGGA